AUUGAACGCUGGCGGCAUGCCUUACACAUGCAAGUCGAACGGCAGCACGGGAGCUUGCUCCUGGUGGCGAGUGGCGAACGGGUGAGUAAUACAUCGGAACGUACCCUGAAGUGGGGGAUAACGUAGCGAAAGUUACGCUAAUACCGCAUAUUCUGUGAGCAGGAAAGAGGGGGAGUCGCAAGACCUCUUGCUUUAGGAGCGGCCGAUGUCGGAUUAGCUAGUUGGUGAGGUAAAGGCUCACCAAGGCGACGAUCCGUAGCGGGUCUGAGAGGAUGAUCCGCCACACUGGGACUGAGACACGGCCCAGACUCCUACGGGAGGCAGCAGUGGGGAAUUUUGGACAAUGGGCACAAGCCUGAUCCAGCCAUGCCGCGUGAGUGAAGAA
Molecule: ribosomal RNA, 385 nt
Filed under: uncultured bacterium
Lineage: Bacteria
Description: bacterial SSU rRNA
Rfam family: Bacterial small subunit ribosomal RNA
Source: RNAcentral